CCUACGGGAGGCAGCAGUGAGGAAUAUUGGUCAAUGGACGCGAGUCUGAACCAGCCAAGUAGCGUGAAGGAUGACUGCCCUAUGGGUUGUAAACUUCUUUUAUAAGGGAAUAAAACGAGGCACGUGUGCCUUUUCGCAUGUACUUUAUGCAUAAGGAUCGGCUAACUCCGUGCCAGCAGCCGCGGUAAUACGGAGGAUCCGAGCGUUAUCCGGAUUUAUUGGGUUUAAAGGGAGCGUAGAUGGGUUGUUAAGUCAGUUGUGAAAGUUUGCGGCUCAACCGUAAAAUUGCAAUUGAUACUGGCAGUCUAGAGUACAGUUGAGGUAGGCGGAAUUCGUGGUGUAGCGGUGAAAUGCGUAGAGAUCACGAAGAACCCCGAUUGCGAAGGCAGCUUACUAAACUGUGACUGACAUUGAUGCUCGAAAGUGUGGGUAUCAAACAGGAUUAGAUACCCUUGUAGUC
Molecule: ribosomal RNA, 460 nt
Filed under: uncultured bacterium
Lineage: Bacteria
Description: partial 16S ribosomal RNA
Rfam family: Bacterial small subunit ribosomal RNA
Source: RNAcentral